GUACAAAUUGAUGUUAGUGGAGAGUUUUGAUAGCUGCUGUUUCCAGUUCAAGUUCCAGUUUUAAUGGAAAACCUUUAAUCACAUUUAAUGGACAGAGAAAAAUGCCAUUUACUGGAUUGACUUCAACACCUGUUGCCUUUUAACAAUGGCAUAGGAUAGGUAUGGUGGUCAUAAAAGAGAUUUAAAUGGAAUGAAACUUGUGCAGAAGAAAUCAAGGAAAACAAUUUUGAACUGCUGUUACUUAAUAGCUGUUAGAGGCGAUCCAGUUCUUCAUCAAUGGUAUACGCUGGGACAAUUGCUGUUGAAAAACCACAAGCCGUACUAUCUGCAAAUAUUAUGGUGGACAUCAAAAAGCUUCCUUCAUCACUGAUAUCUCUGCAUUUUCUUAACAAUGGAUAUCCCCCCAACAGUUGCUCCUACUCCUCACUUUCCUCCUUCAUUCAACAUAAAGCAGACUCAAUACUCCUCAAUGCCUCACCAAGGUUCGUUAACUUCAUUAAUAGUGUUAUUGUUUCAAUAAAUUUGUUUAUUGGUUUUUAUCUUCUUACUAUAUAAUUAUAUCAGGCGUCAUUUUUUUUAAUGUUAAUUUUUUGUAAAAUUUUGAUGAUCUGGAUAGAAACCUUUUUUUUCUUAAGCUUUUGCAAUAUAAAACACUAGUUAAGAGAAAUACACUUUAUUUUAUGAAUAGGACCCUUAUCUCUGUUGAUAUUGUCUUAAUCUAUCUUAUAUUUACUUCCAUUAGUUCAAUCAUUAAAUUGUUAUUAAAUAAAACUAUAUUGUAUUCUGGAUUUCGUCAAAGGUAUUUUUUAAAAGAAUUAAAAAACAAUCUUUAUAGGCUUGUAUCAUUUCCAAUUUAUGUUUAUCUUGUACUAUUUAUAUUUUCCUAAGCUUCUCUAAGUUUAUUCCCAGAUUAUCAAAAUUAUAAUUUUUAUACUUGCGCAGCUGCGUCACUAUAGCCCUAUGAACACAAGUAUUAUUUUGGUUUUAAAGUUUAUGUUUUUUAAUAUUUCAUUUAUUGUAUUAACGGAAAACUAAAUUUUAUAGAAUUUAACUAACUAUAUCUUCAACCGGAUGAUAAUUUAAUAGUUAAUGGUCAAUUUAAUAUUUUUUCAUAGAAAUUAAAUUUGAUUAUUGAAUACCAAUGUCAAGCCAGUAGAAAUGAUUUAUUAGUGUUUAUUUUUUUUGAAAUAAUUUUUUUACUAAAUCAAUUUUGGAUACUUGUGUUCAUAUAGUUUUUUUUGCUUUUGAGAAUUGUUUUUGGUACCCUAACACAGAUGUUUUUAAUCAAUUUAUAUGAUUUUAAAACAGUUAUGUUUAUAUCUAUUUUGUACUUAAAUUUUAGUGAUAAAAUUUGUUUCUUUAACACAGAGAGCAAUGCACUUCAUGCAUUGUUUUCUUUUUUAUGUGCAGAAUUUUCUUUAAAUACAGUAUGUCCUCAGAACAAGAGCAAAAGCUUUUUUUAUUAACAUUUUUCAUAAAAAAUACAUUCCUUAUAAAAAUAUUUUUCUUUUUAGUAUUUUCAUUUCAAUUUUUUUAACAAAUAUAUUGUGAGCACACAUUUUAAAAUUAUUUUUCGUAGAUAUACUGUGCGAUUCAAGUAUAUUUAUACUAAAAUUGUAUUUUUUUUAAAUGUUUUUUAAUGUAUGUACUAGAAUCAAGGGUACUAGUUAAUAUACCACUGUAAUCCACUCAAAAUGGCAUAAAUUAAUUAUUUUAGAAGAGUUCAAUUGAAAAUAAAUACAUGAAUUUUAACCUUUAGUAUUACUGGUUGCCUAAUCGAUUCUUAUGUAAUGUUGUGGUAAUGUUCUUAUUAUUUAAAAAAAUCUUAUUUCCAGUAGUAAUUUUUUCUCUCAAUUUUAGUAUUUAAAUUGUAUCUAUCUUGUCAUAUUUAUUUAACAUAUCUAUUAGACCUCUACGACCCAUCAUCUCUGAAAAAUACAAACUGCUGUUUGCUAUGUGUUAAUAAUUUUUUUAUAAAAUAUGAAACAAACUUUAUCUCCUAAAAUUUAUGAAUUUUACACAGAUUUUACAUAUGAAAAUGGUCUGCUAGGGUAUAUAAUAUAUUUAUUGUAGGAUCAGUUGAAAUAUCAUAAGUCAUAAUAUAAAAAUUAAC
Molecule: long non-coding RNA, 2113 nt
Filed under: Sitophilus oryzae (rice weevil)
Lineage: Eukaryota; Metazoa; Arthropoda; Insecta; Coleoptera; Curculionidae
Description: uncharacterized LOC115883156
Source: RNAcentral